RNAcentral lists this ribosomal RNA (133 nucleotides) under Masaia oloidia. Its description in RNAcentral is "partial 28S ribosomal RNA". It matches the Rfam family "Eukaryotic large subunit ribosomal RNA", at positions 1 to 134 of the family's 3401-position model. Lineage: Eukaryota; Viridiplantae; Chlorophyta; Trebouxiophyceae; Chlorellales; Chlorellaceae. The record is from RNAcentral.
UCGACCUGAGCUCAGGCAAAAUACCCGCUGAAUUAAGCAUAUCAAUAAGCGGAGGAAAAAAAACUAACCAGGAUUCCNUUAGUAACGGCGANUGAACCGGGAANAGCCAACUUGAAAAUNUUCCAGCCCCCGG